This 484-nucleotide ribosomal RNA is filed under the name uncultured bacterium. Its description in RNAcentral is "partial 16S ribosomal RNA". It matches the Rfam family "Bacterial small subunit ribosomal RNA", at positions 29 to 507 of the family's 1533-position model. The record is from RNAcentral.
AUUGAACGCUGGCGGCAGGCCUAACACAUGCAAGUCGAGCGGAUGAAGGGAGCUUGCUCCUGGAUUCAGCGGAGGACGGGUGAGUAAUGCCUAGGAAUCUGCCUGGUAGUGGGGGCUAACGUCCGGAAACGGGCGCUGAUACCGCAUACGUCCUGAGGGAGAAAGUGGGGGGUCUUCGGACCUCACGCUAUCAGAUGAGCCUAGGUCGGCUUAGCUAGUUGGUGGGGUAAAGGCCUACCAAGGCGUCGAUCCGUAACUGGUCUGAGAGGAUGAUCAGUCACACUGGAACUGAGACACGGGCCGGGCUGCCGAGGGAGGCAGCAGGCGAGCAUAUUGGGACAUGGGGGCAAUCAUGAUCCAACCAUGGCGCGGGUGUGAAGAAGGUCGUCGGAUUGUAAAGCCAGGAUGAUUGGGAGGAAAGGGAGUAAGGUGUUACCGAGCGGUGGUGUCGUUACCAACAGAAUAAGCACUCGCUAAAGUCAUG